This 451-nucleotide ribosomal RNA is filed under the name uncultured bacterium. Its description in RNAcentral is "partial 16S ribosomal RNA". It matches the Rfam family "Bacterial small subunit ribosomal RNA", at positions 28 to 507 of the family's 1533-position model. The record is from RNAcentral.
GGUGAAUGCUGGCGGCGUGCCUAACACAUGCAAGUCGAGCGGCAGCGCGGGGUGCUUGCACCCUGUCGGCGAGCGGCGAACGGCUGAGUAACGCGUAGGAAUUUGCCCCAAAGUGAGGAAUAACUGCCCGAAAGGGUAGCUAAUGCCGCAUGUGGUCUUCGGAUUAAAGGAUUUAUCCGCUUUGGGAGAGGCCUGCGUUGGAUUAGGUUGUUGGUAGGGUAAUGGCCUACCAAGCCGACGAUCCAUAGCUGGUCUGAGAGGAUGAUCAGCCAGACUGGAACUGAGACACGGUCCAGACUCCUACGGGAGGCAGCAGUGAGGAAUCUUCCACAAUGGGCGAAAGCCUGAUGGAGCAACGCCGCGUGAAGGAUGAAGGCCUUCGGGUUGUAAACUUCUUUUAUGAGUGAAGAAUAUGACGGUAACUCAUGAAUAAGCACCGGCUAACUACGUG